AUGGCCAAAAUCAACGUUGGGUUGGCCAACGGCGGAGGAAUCGGGUUUGGGAUGGCCAAAAUCAACAUUUGGGGGGUCAACGGUGAAGGAAUUCGCAUUAGGAUGGUCAACGGUGGAGGAAUCGGUUUUGGGAUGGCCAAAAUCAACAUUUGGGGGGUCAACGGUGAAGGAAUUCGCAUUAGGAUGGUCAACGGUGGAGGAAUCGGUUUUGGGAUGGCCAAAAUCAACAUUUGGGGGGUCAACGGUGAAGGAAUUCGCAUUAGGAUGGUCAACGGUGGAGGAAUCGGUUUUGGGAUGGCCAAAAUCAACAUUUGGGGGGUCAACGGUGAAGGAAUUCGCAUUAGGAUGGUCAACGGUGGAGGAAUCGGUUUUGGGAUGGCCAAAAUCAACAUUUGGGGGGUCAACGGUGAAGGAAUUCGCAUUAGGAUGGUCAACGGUGGAGGAAUCGGUUUUGGGAUGGCCAAAAUCAACAUUUGGGGGGUCAACGGUGAAGGAAUUCGCAUUAGGAUGGUCAACGGUGGAGGAAUCGGUUUUGGGAUGGCCAAAAUCAACAUUUGGGGGGUCAACGGUGAAGGAAUUCGCAUUAGGAUGGUCAACGGUGGAGGAAUCGGUUUUGGGAUGGCCAAAAUCAACAUUUGGGGGGUCAACGGUGAAGGAAUUCGCAUUAGGAUGGUCAACGGUGGAGGAAUCGGUUUUGGGAUGGCCAAAAUCAACAUUUGGGGGGUCAACGGUGAAGGAAUUCGCAUUAGGAUGGUCAACGGUGGAGGAAUCGGUUUUGGGAUGGCCAAAAUCAACAUUUGGGGGGUCAACGGUGAAGGAAUUCGCAUUAGGAUGGUCAACGGUGGAGGAAUCGGUUUUGGGAUGGCCAAAAUCAACAUUUGGGGGGUCAACGGUGAAGGAAUUCGCAUUAGGAUGGUCAACGGUGGAGGAAUCGGUUUUGGGAUGGCCAAAAUCAACAUUUGGGGGGUCAACGGUGAAGGAAUUCGCAUUAGGAUGGUCAACGGUGGAGGAAUCGGUUUUGGGAUGGCCAAAAUCAACAUUUGGGGGGUCAACGGUGAAGGAAUUCGCAUUAGGAUGGUCAACGGUGGAGGAAUCGGUUUUGGGAUGGCCAAAAUCAACAUUUGGGGGGUCAACGGUGAAGGAAUUCGCAUUAGGAUGGUCAACGGUGGAGGAAUCGGUUUUGGGAUGGCCAAAAUCAACAUUUGGGGGGUCAACGGUGAAGGAAUUCGCAUUAGGAUGGUCAACGGUGGAGGAAUCGGUUUUGGGAUGGCCAAAAUCAACAUUUGGGGGGUCAACGGUGAAGGAAUUCGCAUUAGGAUGGUCAACGGUGGAGGAAUCGGUUUUGGGAUGGCCAAAAUCAACAUUUGGGGGGUCAACGGUGAAGGAAUUCGCAUUAGGAUGGUCAACGGUGGAGGAAUCGGUUUUGGGAUGGCCAAAAUCAACAUUUGGGGGGUCAACGGUGAAGGAAUUCGCAUUAGGAUGGUCAACGGUGGAGGAAUCGGUUUUGGGAUGGCCAAAAUCAACAUUUGGGGGGUCAACGGUGAAGGAAUUCGCAUUAGGAUGGUCAACGGUGGAGGAAUCGGUUUUGGGAUGGCCAAAAUCAACAUUUGGGGGGUCAACGGUGAAGGAAUUCGCAUUAGGAUGGUCAACGGUGGAGGAAUCGGUUUUGGGAUGGCCAAAAUCAACAUUUGGGGGGUCAACGGUGAAGGAAUUCGCAUUAGGAUGGUCAACGGUGGAGGAAUCGGUUUUGGGAUGGCCAAAAUCAACAUUUGGGGGGUCAACGGUGAAGGAAUUCGCAUUAGGAUGGUCAACGGUGGAGGAAUCGGUUUUGGGAUGGCCAAAAUCAACAUUUGGGUGGUCAACGGUAGAGGAAUCAACGUUGGGUUGGCCAACGGGAGAGGAAUCGGCGUUGAGGUGGUCAAUGGUGGAGGAAUCGGCUUUGGGAUGGCCAAAAUCAACAUUUGGGUGGCCAAAAUCACCAUUGGAGUGGUCAACGGUAGAGGAAUCGGCGUUGCGGCGGCCAAAAUCAACAUUUGGGUGGCCAACGGUGGAGGAAUCGGCGUUUUGAUGGCCAAAAUCAAUAUUUGGGUGGUCAACGGUAGAGGAAUCGGUGUUUUGAUGGCCAAAAUCAAUAUUUGGGUGGUCAAUGGUUGA
RNAcentral lists this long non-coding RNA (2154 nucleotides) under Anas zonorhyncha (Eastern spot-billed duck). RNAcentral's name for it is "lncRNA (ENSAZOG00000011808.1)". Lineage: Eukaryota; Metazoa; Chordata; Aves; Anseriformes; Anatidae. The record is from RNAcentral.